Molecule: long non-coding RNA, 750 nt
Filed under: Durio zibethinus
Lineage: Eukaryota; Viridiplantae; Streptophyta; Magnoliopsida; Malvales; Malvaceae
Description: long non-coding RNA (DZIB_LNC002021)
Source: RNAcentral
UGAUUUUUUUUUUAUAUAAAUUUUGUUGUAAGCAGUAGUUAUUGAGUUUUCAAAUAUCAGAUUCUUCUUGUGUUCACUGUGUUUUCUAUCAUCAAAUAUUGAAACAAGAGCCAUAUAUAUAAAUAAAAGGUUUGAACAUAAAAAAAAUACAUAUAGUUUUCCCUUCUAAAUUUCUAAUAACAACCAAAAAGACAGGUGUGUAUCUUGUAAAUUUUGGCAGGCAAAUGUAAACAUCAGUAACGAAGUAGUUAACACACUGGCGGAUCGCAAGAGAUUGUUUAUUGAGCUUCUGUUGGGUGGGCUUUAUAUUAAGGAGCUCGACAACAGCGACUAUAGAUGUUGCAACCACGGUUUUAAGGGUUUAAUGUCCUGUUGUCGGGAGUGCUGAAGAGGACCAGUGAGGUGGGCGAGGCUGAUAGCUCUGAGACGGUGCUGGUCUUGGCUUACUUCCACGUACUUCUGAUUUGAUUUGUCCAAUGACAUCUGCAAUUCCAAACCAUUGGAAUUUGGAGAUAUAUACAAAAGAUACGAGCAAAUACAAUACGUUAAGAAAAGAAGUUGGUCACGUACCUUGAAUCUUCAAUAGUCUACGACCGACUACUCCUUGCGGGAUGAAGAUGGCUGAUGCUGAAAGGAACCAGCAAAGGAUGAGAGAAAAUGGAGGUUUGGUUACCAUUGCUUUCUAAGUUGGAUGCCUCCCAAUCCCCCAGUCCAAUACUGUUAUGUUUCUGAUAUGCUCUUCUUAUUGAC